UACGUAGGGUGCAAGCGUUGUCCGGAAUUAUUGGGCGUAAAGAGCUCGUAGGCGGUUUGUCGCGUCUGCUGUGAAAACUCGGGGCUUAACCCCGGGCCUGCAGUGGGUACGGGCAGACUAGAGUGCGGUAGGGGAGACUGGAAUUCCUGGUGUAGCGGUGAAAUGCGCAGAUAUCGGGAGGAACACCAGUGGCGAAGGCGACUUCCUGGCCUGUUCUUGACGCUGAGGCGCGAAAGCUAGGGGAGCAAACGGG
RNAcentral lists this ribosomal RNA (253 nucleotides) under uncultured bacterium. RNAcentral's name for it is "partial 16S ribosomal RNA". It matches the Rfam family "Bacterial small subunit ribosomal RNA", at positions 524 to 776 of the family's 1533-position model. The record is from RNAcentral.